RNAcentral lists this ribosomal RNA (465 nucleotides) under uncultured Klebsiella sp. Its description in RNAcentral is "bacterial SSU rRNA". It matches the Rfam family "Bacterial small subunit ribosomal RNA", at positions 338 to 795 of the family's 1533-position model. The record is from RNAcentral. Lineage: Bacteria; Pseudomonadati; Pseudomonadota; Gammaproteobacteria; Enterobacterales; Enterobacteriaceae.
CCUACGGGGGGCAGCAGUGGGGAAUAUUGCACAAUGGGCGCAAGCCUGAUGCAGCCAUGCCGCGUGUGUGAAGAAGGCCUUCGGGUUGUAAAGCACUUUCAGCGGGGAGGAAGGCGGUGAGGUUAAUAACCUCAUCGAUUGACGUUACCCGCAGAAGAAGCACCGGCUAACUCCGUGCCAGCAGCCGCGGUAAUACGGAGGGUGCAAGCGUUAAUCGGAAUUACUGGGCGUAAAGCGCACGCAGGCGGUCUGUCAAGUCGGAUGUGAAAUCCCCGGGCUCAACCUGGGAACUGCAUUCGAAACUGGGAGGCUAGAGUCUUGUAGAGGGGGGUAGAAUUCCAGGUGUAGCGGUGAAAUGCGUAGAGAUCUGGAGGAAUGCCGGUGGCGAAGGCGGCCCCCUGGACAAAGACUGACGCUCAGGUGCGAAAGCGUGGGGAGCAAACAGGAUUAGAUACCCUAGUAGUC